CUAACAUAGGUUAAAAGGCAUCCAUGCCCAGACGGGGCGAGGGAAGAGUGGGUUGAGAGGUAACCAAGUGUUAAAUGUGAUGCCUGAGAGAGGAGGAAUGAGUAAUUGUGCACAGCAACGCGUCACAACUGUUUGGGACAGAAAGUGAAAAAUAACUUCUGCAUUUGAAGCUAGAGGCAGCAUUUUAUGUUGGCUAAAAGCAGUUAAAUUAAGGAAACUAGUUCAUGACUUGCUUUAGGAUGUACAUUGGCACAUAGCAUGCCACCUAAACAUGGACUACAUGUAUUUCCAACCACCAAUUCCCUAUAACCACUGGGUGAAGACCAACUUGAUCAACUCUUAAAUUUUUAUUGCUGGUGAACUAACAAGCAAUUUCUAUGCAUCUACUGUGGAAGAUAAAAGUAUAAAUUCUGUGCUGUGUGGAUCUAUUUUGGGUGAUAAAAAUCAUGCAGAAGUAUAUAAUAUGCAAAUUAUAUAC
Molecule: long non-coding RNA, 478 nt
Filed under: Crocodylus porosus (Australian saltwater crocodile)
Lineage: Eukaryota; Metazoa; Chordata; Crocodylia; Crocodylidae
Description: lncRNA (ENSCPRG00005014120.1)
Source: RNAcentral